Molecule: long non-coding RNA, 672 nt
Organism: Gambusia affinis (western mosquitofish)
Lineage: Eukaryota; Metazoa; Chordata; Actinopteri; Cyprinodontiformes; Poeciliidae
Exons: 3
Source: RefSeq, a predicted model, not a curated record
CCAGGAGGGGAACAGGUUGGUUUGACUCAGAACCACAGCAGCUGGAGACGGAGCAGAUGAUGGAGUUCUGGUUCCAACCGGGCCGACUCUACUGGACUGAAACCGAAUUAUGAAAGAGUUUGAACUUGAUAAGUGGAUAUUAAAUGGAGAGUAAAUCUUGCAAACAGCAGCUGAUCCUCCGAGCCUCCCAGCCCGACCGUAACUCAUCGGAUGAGACGGAUCGCAUCCUGUUCGGGGCGGGAGGUCAAAGGUUUCCUCCCGAGAGACUCUUGAGCCGGCCUAGCUGUCAAAUGUUCUGGUUCUGAUCGUCUGCAGAAAGAUUCAAAGCAGAGAUGACCUCUGACCUCUGGAGCUCAGACUCCAACACAAACAGUGAAUUCAGGAACAGGAGAAGAAGAAAUCUCAGGCAUGAAACGGGAGGAACAGAAACCAGAACACCGCUCAGGGAUUACCGGAUCUCCAGGUCCGACCCGGAUCAGAACAACGGGACGCAGCGACGUUAUUUAUUAAACGAAAAUAAGAGUUAAUACCUCAUCCUGCGCACUGACUGAGCCUUUAACGGGUAAAUUAAAUCCACACAGGAAAACAAGAACUGAACACAUCACUGCUUCACUUCAAUGUUCUCUAGGAUUUCCUGUUUUGAAGAGUUUCUAAACUCUGAUCAGUUCAACA